UACGGCCAGAUCACUUUGAAACUCCGGUUCCCGUAUGAUCACUGAAGUUAAACAACGCCGAGCCUGAUCAAAACCUAGAUGGAUGACCGCUUGGGAAUACC
This is a non-coding RNA of Acanthosepion pharaonis, 101 nucleotides long. NCBI's taxonomy places the organism in Eukaryota, Metazoa, Mollusca, Cephalopoda, Sepiida, Sepiidae. The record is from the annotation of a GenBank genome assembly.